AUGAAUCUGCUAGCCUGGAACUAUCGGGGCUUGGGGUUGGACUCGACAGUGGGCGAACUUCGCGACCUAGUUAGGUGUCACAACCCGGCGGUGGUUUUCUUAUGUGAAACAAAGAAAAAAGGUAGAGCGAUGGAUAGACUUAAAUGGAGUUUGGGUUUCAAGAAUGGUGUGGCCGUGGAUUGUGUGGGCAGGAGUGGGGGUCUGGCCCUCUGGUGGCGAGAUGAUAUU
This 228-nucleotide ribosomal RNA is filed under the name Triticum aestivum (bread wheat). RNAcentral describes it as "partial small subunit ribosomal RNA". Lineage: Eukaryota; Viridiplantae; Streptophyta; Magnoliopsida; Poales; Poaceae. The record is from RNAcentral.